CUUGAUCGAGCCCAGCCACAGCGGCUGCCCGUCACCGCGCUCCUGGCCGUAGGUCGCCAGCAGCGCCUGCGCCUC
This 75-nucleotide antisense RNA is filed under the name Actinacidiphila glaucinigra. RNAcentral's name for it is "Streptomyces glauciniger ASpks TB sRNA". It matches the Rfam family "ASpks TB sRNA". Lineage: Bacteria; Bacillati; Actinomycetota; Actinomycetes; Kitasatosporales; Streptomycetaceae. The record is from Rfam by way of RNAcentral.